Molecule: ribosomal RNA, 490 nt
Filed under: uncultured bacterium
Lineage: Bacteria
Description: partial 16S ribosomal RNA
Rfam family: Bacterial small subunit ribosomal RNA
Source: RNAcentral
AUGAACGCUGUCUACGGGCUUAACACAUGCAAGUCGAGGGGAAACGACGGGGAAGCUUGCUUCCCCGGGCGUCGACCGGCGCACGGGUGAGUAACGCGUAUCCAACCUGCCUCUGACUGAGGGAUAACCCGUCGAAAGUCGGCCUAAUACCUCAUGGCAUCGUCUGCGGGCAUCCAACGACGAUUAAAGAUUUCAUCGGUCAGGGAUGGGGAUGCGUCUGAUUAGCUUGUUGGCGGGGUAACGGCCCACCAAGGCUACGAUCAGUAGGGGUUCUGAGAGGAAGGUCCCCCACAUUGGAACUGAGACACGGUCCAAACUCCUACGGGAGGCAGCAGUGAGGAAUAUUGGUCAAUGGGCGGGAGCCUGAACCAGCCAAGUAGCGUGCAGGAUGACGGCCCUAUGGGUUGUAAACUGCUUUUAUGCGGGGAUAAAGUGAGGGACGUGUCCUUCAUUGCAGGUACCGCAUGAAUAAGGACCGGCUAAUUCCGUG